UCUUUCCUCGAUGAAGGUGAAAAUGGCAUCUUUUUUUUUUUGUUGGACAAAGGUGAAAAUGGCAUUUUAAGAAGAACUAAUAAUAAUAAGCUGACAUCUAUUACUCUUUUUCCUAGAUAAGGCCCAAACUCUUUUUACAAACAAAAUCUAUUUAUAUAAACUUACCAAUUUUUGCAAACCCAUAGCACAAAACAAUAACCUCCCCAAUUAUGAAUUGGAAGUUUUAAAAAGGCC
This 234-nucleotide long non-coding RNA is filed under the name Brassica napus (rape). RNAcentral's name for it is "long non-coding RNA (BNAP_LNC017337)". The record is from RNAcentral. Lineage: Eukaryota; Viridiplantae; Streptophyta; Magnoliopsida; Brassicales; Brassicaceae.